CUGUGAGCCUGGUUCCUCCUCUCUGUGAUGGGCUUGCAACUCCUGCUUACCUCUCGCUGGGGCCAGAGGAUGAGCGUAUCACUGCGAUGCAUAGAAUGUGAUGAUGGUGAUCACUGCAGAUCAGCAUUUCAGUUGACCAGGACAGUGUCCGUCAUGGUCCAGCGAUCAAGGGCAAGCCCCCCCCCCCCCCGCCCACAUCUUCUCCUCCUGCCUCCUCUAGGAUUGCUGCAAACACUUUCACAGGGUUGACGGGCAGUUGCUGGAACUUUACAUACCGGGCUGUGGGCCUGUGGUGGCGGAUGUGUGUUCAUGUGUACCUGAGGAGGCCACUGGUGUCGAUCUCAUUGCUGCGGGUGCCUCUCCUUCAUCUGUUCCUACUGAGCUGGACCCAGCCAGGAGUCCAAAGCACCGCCCCCAUAGCUGCCUCUCCUCCCUGCCUGCUGCCUCUGCUUCCAGAUCCCAACAAUAAAAUUGCUUUCCUGAAACUGA
Neofelis nebulosa (Clouded leopard) is the source of this 489-nucleotide long non-coding RNA. RefSeq lists it as uncharacterized. The transcript has 2 exons. NCBI's taxonomy places the organism in Eukaryota, Metazoa, Chordata, Mammalia, Carnivora, Felidae. The record is from RefSeq and is a predicted model, not a curated record.